Molecule: ribosomal RNA, 714 nt
Filed under: Sticta gyalocarpa
Lineage: Eukaryota; Fungi; Ascomycota; Lecanoromycetes; Peltigerales; Lobariaceae
Description: SSU rRNA
Rfam family: Bacterial small subunit ribosomal RNA
Source: RNAcentral
AAGUAAAGCAAUAGCAGAUUGCAUUUAAAUGUAAUUACUACUUGGUAGUUUAAAUUUCUAGGUAGAAUUAUGAUAAUGACGUUAUCUAUCUAUUAGUCUUGACCAAAUUACGUGCCAGCAGUCGCGGUAAUACGUAGAAGACAAGUGUUAUUCAUCUUUAUUAGGUUUAAAGAGUACCAAGACGGUUAAUAAAGCCCAAAAUAAAAUACAGGGGACACAUUAACUAGAGUUAUAUGAAAAGAAGCUCUAAGGUACUGUUGAGUGAAGAGAUGAAAUUUUAUGAUACCAGAUGAUUGGCACAGAUUUAUGCGAAGGCAUCUUCUUAUGUAAUAACUGACGUUGUAGGACGAAGGCUUAGGGUGUGAACAGGAUUAGGUACCCUAGUAAUCUAGGCAGAAAAUGAUGAAUGUCAUAGGUAUAAUAUGUCUAUAAAUGAAAGUGUAAGCAUUCCACCUCAAGAGUAAUUUGGCAACAUUGGAACUGAAAUCAUUAGACCGUUUCUGAAACCAGUAGUGAAGUAUGUUGUUUAAUUAGAUGAUACACAAGAACCUUACCACAAUUUGAAUAUAUAUAAUAUAAUGUAUUUACAAGCGCUGCACGGCUGUCUACAGUUAAUGUCGUGAGAUUUUGGUUAGCUCCAUAAAAUUGACGUAAACCCUAAUUUUAUUUAUAAAUAUAAUUAACAUCGCUAUAUUUGAUGUUUAAGAGGGAACA